Long non-coding RNA from Perca flavescens (yellow perch), 3649 nucleotides. RefSeq lists it as uncharacterized. The record is from RefSeq and is a predicted model, not a curated record. The transcript is spliced from 5 exons. Lineage: Eukaryota; Metazoa; Chordata; Actinopteri; Perciformes; Percidae.
CCACAUUACUCCACCUCCGACCUGAAGAAGCAUCUUAAAUAGAACCCAAGGCCAAUUUGCGGUUGAUUAACACAACAGUCAUGAAAACAGCAUGAAAUGGAUCAAUUUCCUCAUACGAGCUCAGCAGAAUCUGCAAAAGUACCAAAUGAAGGAGCGCUUGGAGUCAGGGAUGAAGGUGUCAGGGAUCCAGAGCAGGGACACGAGGCGUCCAUCCACGCUGACGCUCUCAUUUCCCGGGAACACCAGCCUGGAGUCUCGCCAGCGCUGACGAAGGAAGAUGGUUGCAGUGUAGUCCUAAAAAGGUAUUCCCAUCACAUUGAAAAGCUCCCAGGACCUCAGCAAAGCAUUUCCAUUAAAUUCCAAUGUAUUAUUUACACAGCUCUGCCAAUGUGAUUAAUGACGCAUAUGAACACUAUUUAUUUCCUCUUUCUAAUGGCCAUAAUGAAAGUUAAAGAGCCAUAGAAUGUCAUUCGGUUGUUUUUCUACACAUGCCAGUUGAUGAUUCAUCCACGCAACGAUAUGUUUCAUGAGUUAUCUUAUUUACCGCCUUGCAGCUUCGGCUAAAGUCUCAGCUGAUUAUUUGUGCUGGUUUAUGCAUGCUCUCUUCCUUCUCUCAUUCUUCUUUCACACUCCUUAUCAGCUCUUUUCCUUCAGCCAUGUUUCAGCUAAUAGAUUUAUAAUAUAUCUCUUUAUUUCUUUUCUUUACAUUUGCUCAGUCUGUGCAUGCACAUGCCAAAGAAAUAUGUAUUUAUACAUCCCAUCUUGUUAAAAAAAAUAUGUUUCCACACAAUGUUCUCAUUCUCAGGUUUGGUCUCAUCACGGCUCUCUCUUUCUCCUACCUGUUUCAGUCUUCUGGUUUCCUGUUUCCACCUCUGGUCACUCCUCUUCUCUUUCCACUCUUCCUUUUGUUUCCUUCCCCACUCUUCUGUCUCCCUUUGUCCCAGAUGUUGUGAGUGGCUGAGAUUUCUGUCCUUCUUUUGUUAUUAAUGAUAAUAUCGCAGUGCUUCUUCCACCUAAAGAUAGACAACAGUUGCUUCUAUCAUUUGGUCCUGGUGUGGGGGCUACUGUUGCUUGUUUUCUUGUUUGUGCAUCUCCUUCCUACUCUCUACACAGCUGGAUUCAUCUCUCCACUGAGCCUCUGUGCACCCCCUCCCUCUAUCUCUCUCUCUCUCUCUCUCUCUCUCCUUAGUUUAUGCCACUCACCCUCUCAUUCGCACUCCAUCUCUCCCCUAUUUUUUACUGCCCCCUACCUCCACACACACACACACACACACACACACACACACAUACUGUAUGCACACACAUAAACAUCCAGUUUGAUCUACCAUAUCACUUCUUUUCUUUUCCCUCAUUCGCCUCCUCCCACACAUUCUUAUUCUUUUGGCCCUUAAUCUCUAUCUACCUCCCCACCCUCCAAUUUACUCUGACACUGCACCUCCUUCUGGGCUUCAAAGCUCUGUCUCCUUCCCUCAUGCCCUCUCCCUCCUCAACUCCAACUCCGUUCCCUUACAUCAGUAUCAUCAUUUGAAUUAGUUUCCUCUCAGCUCUGUUUCCUAUCUCUCGCCACUUCCAUAAAAUAGCCAUGUGGCCCCCAUAUGAGAUAAAAAACAACAAGUAAGACUACUUUUCUCUAUUUGGCUCUCAAAAAACCUUAUUGAAAAUGGCAUCCAUGGGGUGUCUCCCCUCCUGCAGAUUACUCCUCUAGCCCUGAGAGCUGCUGAUGUCCACAUUUGGGUCAUUGAAAAUGUAUUGAACCUCUUAAUAUUGCGUGGUGGUGACGGUGAUGACUUAUCCACACACAACAGUCAACCGCAGCCCAUAGACCAAAGCACUUUUUGUGCUAAACGGUCGAUCUUUCGGCUCCAGCACCUUUGACAUUUUGUCAUUAAUCUGGUAUAUGCUCAUAAUUUUUUCAAGAUUCUACUCUAACAGCCUGACCCCGAUGGCCCACUGCUGGGAGUUCCAGCAUGUGUAAGAAAGCCUUGAGGGUUUACAGACUAAUAACGCCUUAUGAGAUUUCAGCACAGGCUAUCAACCUGCUGCAGUCUAUUGUGUUCCCCAGCCUGUGUUCCCCAGUACUGACUACUGAUGAUAACUGCUUGCUAGCAAACUCUUUCUAAAUUAAGUGCAUCAGUAACUGUAGUUAUAAAGCUCUCCUAUUUUUUAUUUCAUGCUCUGGUGGCUGUAUUCGUGGACAAACAGUCUUUUUACAUUUCAUGUUAAUGGUGAGGAGCGCUGUGGAAUGAACAUAAGAUAAUCUGAUUUGCAUCCACCAUGUGAAUCAGUGUGCACAUAGAGUCAGAGUCCCUGACAGUGAAAGAGACAAAUUGAGACGUUUGUGAAGCACCUGAGGGGGAGGAUGUCAAUGUUUGAUCCGUGUGUUAGGGGGCUAAUGUAUAAUUAUAGCCAGACAAGCGAUGUCGGAGGGGCAGACAACUCAGUGUUAGUCAGCAUCCACCUGGCUGCCUCUGCCUACCUGCCUGCAUGGUAACAUCUGCCUGGGAUUCAGUAUGUUUUCCUUUUUAAUUCUCUCACCGCUUAAAUGCCCUUGUUUAUCCAUAGCUGUCCACCUGUCCAUUUCUCUAACCCCUUCAUUAGCUAGCUCAAAUUGAAUUAUUUCCUGAAUCCAAACAUAAUUACUUUGAAGCUAGUAAUAACUAACAACUUUCAAGGAACUUUACACAUAAUUUCUCAUUUGUAGAGGAUGCAGAUUUCUGCAUUUAAUGCUGGGCUUGCAUUAGGUGUGUGUUUAUGUAUGUGCUACACUGCAGGGCAUAGCCUUGCUGAUUAAGGUCCAUAAAUCAGUAUCUGGUCACUUUUAACCACUUAGUUCAUUUUUCAUUUGAAAUGCAAUCAGUUAUCCUUGGCGAACAAAUACACACAGCAAGUGUCCUUCCUAGUUGUGUGUCACUCAUCUCUACUAUUGCUCCUUCAAUAGCCCUCCAUCCAUCAUCCAUCCAUUUUACUCAAAAAAUCAUGGACACAUCCUCCCCCAUCAUCUUCUGUCCAGCCAGCCAAGAACACUUAAUGCUGCACUUUGGUUUCUUUCCAAUCAAUCCCCUGUUGCAUAACCUACUUUCUCUAAAUAUCUUUGCCUCUCUGUAUUCAACUUCAUUUCCAUUUCUCCAUCUGUGGGUCUCCCUGUCUCUCUAUCAGAAUAAAUAAGCAUUAUGAUGCACCAAGUAAUGUUCAUGUCCACAGCGGCACCAGGAAAAGGAAACGUCAUGGCCCACGCUUUGGCCCAGUGGCUUGCUGUCAUGUGGCAAAUGGAAAUGUCACAGAACUGCUCAUGAGACGGACAGUGAUAAAUCUCUCCUGAGUGACUGUGACGGCUGCCAUGUCCAUGUAUGAAUUCAAGUGACGUAGACUCUGGGCCCUGUUUGCUCGCCUCGGCUCUGAGCCAGCUGUCAUGUCUCCCCAUGUGUCCACUGGAAGUGGAUAAAGUGUUUUCUGUUGUCAUUCUUCAGUGGACGGGAAAUUAUAAUUUAACAUUCCUCUCAACUCUCUGUUUCCCAGAAGGUCUGCCCACUCCGGCUCUGUUGUCUUGUGUCCCAGGCCUUAUCUGAGGCAGAGCUUAACGCAGUUCUUCUUUUGAGACACUCUUAUUCUUUCUCAGUCUGUAUAUAUAUAUAUAUAUAUAUAUAUAUAU